Long non-coding RNA from Gallus gallus (chicken), 1531 nucleotides. The record is from Ensembl. NCBI's taxonomy places the organism in Eukaryota, Metazoa, Chordata, Aves, Galliformes, Phasianidae.
ACACCUCAAGUACUGUGUUCAGCUUUGGGUCCCACACUACAAGAAAGUCAUCAAGGCCCUGGAGCAUGUUCAGAGAAGGAUUCACAAACAUUAGAUGAGAAGAAUGCAUACGAUCUUCAAAUCUGAAUUCGUCUGUAUGUGGACCAUGGACAGAUUUACGGAUUUCCAAACAAAGGAAAAUUCAGUGAGAGUGCACACUGUACUUCUGAUUCCAGCAGAUGCACACAGGAAGCCCACCUCUGGUAUCACAAUAGCACUCCAUGCUGAUCAUCACCAGAGCCCAGUGUUCAAUUCAGAGGCAAUGUCAAAAAGAGCAACAGAAGAGAAAGAGAAGAGAGAAGAAACUAGCCUGGAUUGAUUUAAAGAGCAGGCCUGAAGGAACCUCUUAGAGUAUGUUUGUGUCUUUGUAUAACUGGAGCUGGCUUGCUGUAAAUGAGAUGCAAAAUGGAGGAAUUCAGGAAAUUCAUACGGCAGUUUCAGUGCUGCACAGGACUGCAAGUUUGAUCCCAGAGGCACCUUGAAGAAGCUUUUCUGUUGUGAAACCCAUCUUUCAGAAGCGCAUUAUGAAGUUAAGUCACUCACCAAGAGCUGAAACCUAGGAGCUGUCAAGGGCUUUCUAUUUUAAAUGACAUUUAUCUUCAUCUUGGAAAGGUAGCACAGCCACUCUAUGGCAGUCUUCUACCAUUUGCAGUUCCUAAUUGUUGUCCAAUGAUGACCAUACAACUAUCUUCAGCUCAGACAUCAAUGUCUGUCCCAAUAAUAGCUACUGGACAGUUCAGAGAUAUAUGCCAAAGGAAACUGAAAUGAUCACAGCUACAAGGUCAGGUGUCCCUGCAUCAUAAUAUAAUGGUGGCAAUGUGGAACACCCCUGGAUUAACUUGUGCUAGCAUAAGGACUAAAAAGAAAGAUCUCAGCAUGUUUCAAAAUCCUACUUUAAGAUAUAAAAGGUUUUCCUCCAGAGAAAACAAACACUUGAUCCCCACACGUUGAGGUCUGUAAAGGCUGCUGUUUCCAUUUUAAGAUAUGAAACCCUAUAACAUGGAACAAUCGCCCCCAAAUUAUAUACAUUGCAGAUUAAUUUUUGCUGAUUAUUAUCCACUGAAUUCAUUUUAGAGAACAACUCACUAGAGGAUAAACGUCAAUUUCAUUAUUAUUUUUCAAAACUAAGAUUCAAUUUUGCAUUUCUAUCAGAUUCAAAAUAAUUUUCUAUGUAACUCAGUGGGAUAUUCAUAUGUGCUCAGAAACUAACGAGGUAUGGGAAAUAGAUAUACUAUCAUAAAAGGAAAAUCACUAAAUGAGGGAAAAAAAAAAAGAUUGUAAAAGGGCCUUUUCAGUAAAAAGAACAAUUUCAUCACUGAGUAGAACUACUUGUUCACUGUAUCUCUGUUUUUUGCCAUCUCAAGUGGCCUGUUCAAUUCUGUUACUAUUUCAGAACAUUCUGCUUCUACUGACUGAAGGAAUACUGUUCAUUAAAAAUCUUUGUAAAGCAAUGUUAAAAAGAAAAAUGAAGUAAAUUAAUUUAUAAAGAAUU